Molecule: ribosomal RNA, 517 nt
Filed under: uncultured Variovorax sp.
Lineage: Bacteria; Pseudomonadati; Pseudomonadota; Betaproteobacteria; Burkholderiales; Comamonadaceae
Description: bacterial SSU rRNA
Rfam family: Bacterial small subunit ribosomal RNA
Source: RNAcentral
CGGCAUGCUUAACAUGCAAGUCGAACGGCAGCGCGGGAGCAUCCUGGCGGCGAGUGGCGAACGGGUGAGUAAUACAUCGGAACGUGCCCAAUCGUGGGGGAUAACGCAGCGAAAGCUGUGCUAAUACCGCAUACGAUCUACGGAGUGAGGGCAGGGGACCGCAAGGCCUUGCGCGACUGGAGCGGCCGAUGGCAGAUUAGGUAGUUGGUGAGGUAAAGGCUCACCAAGCCGACGAUCUGUAGCUGGUCUGAGAGGACGACCAGCCACACUGGGACUGAGACACGGCCCAGACUCCUACGGGAGGCAGCAGUGGGGAAUUUUGGACAAUGGGCGCAAGCCUGAUCCAGCCAUGCCGCGUGCAGGAUGAAGGCCUUCGGGUUGUAAACUGCUUUUGUACGGAACGAAAAGGCUCUUUCUAAUAAAGAGGGCUCAUGACGGUACCGUAAGAAUAAGCACCGGCUAACUACGUGCCAGCAGCCGCGGUAAUACGUAGGGUGCAAGCGUUAAUCGGAAUUAC